CUGCAGGUGCCAUGGGGUUGACCGACUCGAGAUGGCUGCAGACGCCACCAGCUGUGCCAACUCGCCGCGUUUUAGCCGCCCGCCUCUCCGCUCGUUGUUGUGAGCGUCCCUCACGAGCCUCCUCCUCCACAGAGGCCGAUCUUGACACCGCCGGUAGCGCUCAUCGGCAAGUCCACUCAGCUCCACAUCCUCCAACCAGGUGUGGACAUCCCCCGGUGGUGUCACCUGUUCCGGGCACAAACCCAGGGGAAGCAUGGGUCAUCAAGGGACAGAGCACUCAAGACACACAGCAGGUCUCCAAGUCGUGUCUCAAGGUACCGUGAUCAUUUGGUCAAUUGGAUUUCCUGUUGCCGUGAAAAGUUUCUCCCCAGAAGCGAGCUCGGCAAUUAUGCAGCCCAGAGACCACAUGUCCACUGCGCAGGCAUCGGAGUACCUGCCCAAAGGACCCCUUCCCAAUCACAUUCAGUACUUGGAAGCGGUACACCAAGUGUUCAUCCGUGAUCUGGAACAAGAUUACACAAGUGUUCAGUACUCAACCAGGGCCCUCUCUGAGUGCUCAAACAUUACUCAGUCUAAACACACGGCUCAUUCAAGUUCUCAUUUAUCAGUCACUGGUUUGACAUUCACACACUCAUGCACAUGUCUGAGCUCUCUCUGAUGUCUCUGCCAAAUACAUCUUUGCCUCACGCUGGAAACCACUAAAUCAUUCUAUGCAAAGUGUGGGUUAUAGAAUGUCCUUUAUCUGUAUUUUUGAAGCUUUUUUCUCAGAGCUGGAUGACAAAGAUAGUCACUACAUCGCGCGCUUCGAGAUGCACUUCUGCUGCUGUCUGGAAUGCUCUUCCUUCCGAUAUUAGGAAGCCACUGGAGCGAUGCACUGUUAAAUCUAGAUUUAAAACCAAAAUCACAGAUGCCAAAUUUCAGGCCCUUUCUCCUUCAGCCUCGUUCACUUUUACAUAGCCAUGUUCAUUCAAUUCCCGGAUUCCACCCACACAGUUAGUGGCCUCACUCUGUAUGCCCUGCAUACUAUACUCAUAGGCUAUGCCAACCCCACCCACUACUCAGGUA
This is a long non-coding RNA of Lethenteron reissneri (Far Eastern brook lamprey), 1065 nucleotides long. RefSeq lists it as uncharacterized. The record is from RefSeq and is a predicted model, not a curated record. Lineage: Eukaryota; Metazoa; Chordata; Hyperoartia; Petromyzontiformes; Petromyzontidae.